AGAACAUCCAAAAUCAAGUUUGGUUGGCGCAGGACCUUGUCCUAAAAAGCAAGGGGAUUAUAUUAUUGACUAUCGGAGUGUGAUUGGGAGGUAUGGGUAUGUAUAGGUUUACUGUGCCGGUUGAAAUUGAUGGGGUUUUGGAUCCUGUACCAUAAUUAACAUGACUCGAUUUGAGAAAUUUUCCCAGCAUUAUGUUAGAAAAUGUCAAACAAAACUGCUCUGCUGGUAGGGUCCAUGUGGAAUUCAGCAGCAAGUUUACAAGUUAAAAUGAAGGUACUCUUCGGAUCAAGGUGCCAAAUGUAUUAAAGCUACUGAGUUUAAUUACAAUCUAGUAAUAGCCUUCCAUUCCAAUAAUAUCUAAUGAGGGGAAGAAAUCUUACUUCACCACUGGAAACAAAUAUUCAAGAAAUAGUCUCUCAAUAGCUAAAGGGAAGCUACAAUGUUCAGUUGCAUACCCAUAAAAUGCAUAUGCCUACUGACUUCUGGGCGCUUAAACCUGCUGCUUCUCUAUCUCUACUUGGCUGUUUGUUUUUUUUUGUUUUUUCAAAGUCUUGGGAAGCUAUUUUCUUCCCCAUGAUUCAAAGUGGAGUAACACCUUGUGCUUAAAAACUAUAAGACACAACAAAGGAGCAUUACCAAACAUAAUUGUUCAUCAAGCCAUAUGAGACCAUGACUGGUAAAGAAUUCAAAUCAGGAGGCCAAAAAUGGAACGCUGGAGAUAUCCUGGAAACUUGACGGCCGCAAGCAAUUUGAAAGUGGGGCUCCUUUGCAUCCCACUUUCCAACAAUACCAAUGUUGAAGAACAAAGCCAAUCAUUGAUAUGGGCAUUGUUAUCCAUCGAUCCAAUGUCUCCUUCACUCGCCCACUACUGGGUCAUAGUUUGUUGGGACGAUCGUUUUAAUUUCAGGGGCAAUUUUGACACCAAGCUGGAUGCCCGACGGGCCUGUCUGAGUUCUUAUUGCCAUAGCCAGGGGUUCUAUGGCCGGUAUAAACAACAUCGGUGACAAAGGACAUCCCUGAUUUGAUGAAUUCGAUUAAUUCCUGGCAAAUGUGGAUUUAUCUACUGAGGAAAGAUCAACUAAGGUUACCCAAUUUCACUGGAAUUCAUGAGUAAGAGAAAUAAUCUCAAGGAGUCGUACUAAAAUGAUUCCAGGAAUAAAAGGCCAUUUCUCCAUUUUUGUUUAAGCAAGCAAAGGAUAAAAUGUGCCUCAGGAAAGUCGCAACAGCAGAGGAUACUUCAAAAGAACAGGAGAGAGUUGGAAGUAGUGCAUCUCAA
Molecule: long non-coding RNA, 1276 nt
Organism: Mobula hypostoma (lesser devil ray)
Lineage: Eukaryota; Metazoa; Chordata; Chondrichthyes; Myliobatiformes; Myliobatidae
Exons: 6
Source: RefSeq, a predicted model, not a curated record